GGCCACCCUCUGUGGGGUGAUCGAUGACGGGGUGGGGGGGUUCCAUGAUUGAUCGCCCUGCAGAGGGAGGCC
Molecule: microRNA precursor, 72 nt
Filed under: Myotis davidii
Lineage: Eukaryota; Metazoa; Chordata; Mammalia; Chiroptera; Vespertilionidae
Description: mir-9242 microRNA precursor family
Rfam family: mir-9242 microRNA precursor family
Source: Rfam by way of RNAcentral